UACGGAGGGGGCCAGCGUUGUUCGGAAUUAUUGGGCGUAAAGGGCGCGUAGGCGGUCGAGUAAGUCUGACGUGAAAUCCCUUGGCUCAACCUUUGAAAGCCGGUGGAUACUGCAGGGCUAGAGUCCGGAAGAGGCGAGUGGAAUUCCUGGUGUAGCGGUGGAAUGCGCAGAUAUCAGGAGGAACACCAAUAGCGAAGGCAGCUCGCUGGGACGGUACUGACGCUAAGGCGCGAAAGCGUGGGGAGCAAACAGG
RNAcentral lists this ribosomal RNA (253 nucleotides) under uncultured bacterium. RNAcentral describes it as "partial 16S ribosomal RNA". It matches the Rfam family "Bacterial small subunit ribosomal RNA", at positions 524 to 776 of the family's 1533-position model. The record is from RNAcentral.